UACAGAGGGGGCAAGCGUUGUUCGGAAUUACUGGGCGUAAAGGGCGCGUAGGCGGCCUUCUAAGUCAGACGUGAAAUCCCCGGGCUCAACCCGGGAACUGCGUCUGAUACUGGAAGGCUUGAAUCCGGGAGAGGGAUGUGGAAUUCCAGGUGUAGCGGUGAAAUGCGUAGAUAUCAGGAGGAACACCUGCGGUGUAGACGGCUUACUGGACGGUAACUGACGCUGAGGCACGAAAGCGUGGGUAGCAAACAGG
RNAcentral lists this ribosomal RNA (253 nucleotides) under uncultured bacterium. RNAcentral describes it as "partial 16S ribosomal RNA". It matches the Rfam family "Bacterial small subunit ribosomal RNA", at positions 524 to 776 of the family's 1533-position model. The record is from RNAcentral.